Molecule: long non-coding RNA, 1031 nt
Organism: Oncorhynchus masou masou (cherry salmon)
Lineage: Eukaryota; Metazoa; Chordata; Actinopteri; Salmoniformes; Salmonidae
Exons: 3
Source: RefSeq, a predicted model, not a curated record
CAACGUGAUGUUUACAUCCCCAGGUAUCUAACCAGUAGCCACAUUGCAACACGGAGGACUUCCCAAAAGGCGCUUCUUAUUUUAGGUGGAGAGGGAGUAAGAUCACUAGAAAGGAGCAUGCUGACAGAGCAGGGAGAAAGCUGUUGUUGCACAGCAGAGAACCUAAUUCACCUGGUACGGGUGAAUAUAAGGUGCGCACCUCUUUGCUGGAGCAGACCGGGACCAGUGUUGAAAUGCAACGAGAAGGCCUUUAUGGGAAUUGGGAGGGUCAACGCUUCACCCUUUCCAAAAGCUAAGUACCUCUCCAUAUUCCGUUUCCAACAUUUCACCUGCUAGCACUGCCUGCUGACAUUCUCUACUGCUUUGUGUGCUACGCACAGCCAGUACAGUAGUGCACCUACUGUGAACCAGAGAGGAGGCCUUUUGGGAUACUGGAAAGGUGAAGCACAAUUCAGGUUGAAUUCAUUAUGGAUUAUAGUGACUUUUCUGCCUGAACACUCAUUGCUCACAUUUGAACUAUUUGAGUUACUCGUGUCCCCCCAAUGACAAUGGGAAAACUUUUCUGAAUAGACAUGAUUGGCCUUUAUUGAUACCAGAUAACAUUACUUAAGCCACUGUCUCCUGCCUCCAUUUUUAUUUUCCCAUUCAAGCCUUUUUGAUUUUCCCAUUUAAGUUUGUUUAAAUCUAUUUACUAUUUCCCCAUUACCUUUGAUAUUAUACUCCUUUCCUUAGUUCUAUUGUGGCUUAUUAUGAUUUAAUCAUUUUUGGAGAGGUAUUGUGGAGUUUUAUUGUAAUUGGCCCUAUGACAUUUCAGCAAAAUCUGUUGACAGAAUCUUUCUUUCACUCAGUACAACAGAACCCAGGAGAGGCCUGCUGUGAACACUGGCUUGGAUCCCUCAGAGCGUGCCUGCAGUGGUGUGACCACGGAAGAGUCCUCAAGGACUUUUAAAAUAAGACUUUUCCAUUUGAUCUUUUUGGACUUGUCCACUUGGGACUUUUAGCUAUUGUUAAAUAAAUAAUGUAGAACACCA